Molecule: long non-coding RNA, 1270 nt
Filed under: Equus caballus (horse)
Lineage: Eukaryota; Metazoa; Chordata; Mammalia; Perissodactyla; Equidae
Description: lncRNA (ENSECAG00000042055.2)
Source: RNAcentral
GGAACUGGAGGGUCAGAAACACAAGUGUGCCCAGGCAGCCAAAGUGUCAAGCAAUCACACUAUUCCAAAGGGGAAAGGCUAAAUGCGCAUGUCACACUCAAAAUACAAUUGUGCUGACAGCAGUUGGAGAAAUGAGUGGCUAUUUUUGACCGAGCUGGUUCUUAAAAUAGGAACGCUCACUUGCCUGGAAUUGGAGGAAGACCACGGAUUCACUUCAAGGCAUACCUCGAAGAUGUUUCAGGUUUGGUUCCAGACUGCUACAAUAAAGUAAAUAUCGCAAUAAGUCUGUCCACGUGCAGUCAAGACUAGCAAUUUGUGAGAUGAACCUGCAGUGACAGCUUUCUGGGUCCAGGAACUUCACCAUCUGUAAUGCUUCCAGAGUUGAAAUGCCUGGGUUUGACUCCUAGCUCCACCAUAUACUUUCCACGUGACCUGGGGAAGGAGCAGGUCUAUUUUCCUCUUCCAGCCUUGCAGUCUCCGUCCAGCACCCCCUGUUGGCAGAACCUCCAAGGAGCCAGCUAACAAAGCAGAAAUGUGCUUCAUGGAGUCCCAGCCCCAACAUUGCAAAGCAGAGAAAAAAGGAGGGGCUUGAAGGUGAAAGAUAACAGCGAAGUAAUUGGUGAGAUUCAUACAUGUUACGUGUAUCAAUAGCUCCUUUGUUUUUAUUGCUGCAUAAUAUCUGGUUGUAUGAAUAUCACAAUUUACCAUUUUCUUGUUGAUGCACAUUUGGAUUGCUUCCAUCUCUUGACUAUUAUGAAUAAUAAUGAGAAUGAACGUUCUUAGACGUGUUUCCUGGUGCACAUGUGUAUAAGUUUCUGGAGUAUAUGCCUAAAAAUGGAGUUGCUGGGCCGUGGGGGAUGCAUAUACUCAACUUUAAUGGAUAAGGCCAAACAGUUGCCCAAAGUGGGUCUACCAAUGGACACACCCACCAGCCAGCGUAUGAGAGUAGCCAGUUCCUACAUGGUCAAGUCAACUCUUGGUGCUGCUGUCAAUCUUUUACGUUUUAGCCAAUCCGAUAUGAGGAUGGGGUAUGUCAUCGUAGUUUUUAUUUUCAUUUUCCUGAGGACUAAUGACAUUGAGUACAUUUUAUAUGUAUUUAUCAGCAAUUUUAAUAUCCUCUUCUGUGACAUGUCUAUUCAAGUCUCUUGUACAUUUUGCUAUUGGACUAUCUUUUUCUAAUUGAUUUGUAGGAAUUCUUUGUAUAUACAGAAUAUGUCUCCUGUCAGUUACAUAAUACACUUUUUCUUUUGUGAUAACUUACCUUUCCCAC